CCCCCAACCUGGCUGGUAGCUUCCUGGGGAAGGUGGUCCCCCAUCGGGUGGCUUUUGUUCCUCUCUCCAGGCAAGCCUGUGCCUGGAAGAAUUCGGCUGGCAGGCCCCACUGGGAGGACAGGCGGUACUGCCUCCUCCCCGCCCCCAGCCCCAGGUCAACAGGGCCUUUGUUCUACCUGCACACACCGGCAGGCAGGCGGGCAGAGCCAGCCCCCUUCCCUGGCAGCUCCCCCACCCUCUGAAGGCAGGCACUCCAGGCACAGGGGCGGCACCUCACUACUCUCACUUCCACUUUUGGGACCACAGCACCGAAGCGGCACGGGGAAGCCAACACUCCAGGUAGGCCACGCACACACCCAGAAGCCCGCGUCCCCAAGUCCGGCGGGCCAGACCUCACGGCGCACAGCAGCACGUGACAGUCACAUGAUUUCUGCAUUGAACCCCAAAGCUUCCACCAGCUUUCCUGGAACCUACGGCCAGAAGAGUCCUGAGAUUUCAAAUAUUAAAGCUUUCUCCACAGCC
Molecule: long non-coding RNA, 522 nt
Filed under: Homo sapiens (human)
Lineage: Eukaryota; Metazoa; Chordata; Mammalia; Primates; Hominidae
Description: HSALNT0039556
Source: RNAcentral